AAAUUGGGUUUCUGCAUACCCGCGCAGCUUUAGCACCAAAGGUGAUUUAAGCCUGCCCACACAGUAGGGCACGACAGACCGAUUUAAUGGGUCUUGUAGCCUCUUUACCCUACCGCAGUCACGUGAGUAUGUACCCUUUGCGGGGUUGGGGUGCGUCACUGUCGACUGCCAAAGUAAUCACAACUGCGAGCCACAUCCGGCCAUAACCACAGUGAAGACGGGCAGUAUUAGAGCUCUUCUCACAAGAGACUUCUGGCCACAUCCAGCCUAAGCACAGCGAGUGUCCAAAAUUGUUGGCCACAUCCGGCCUCGUAAGCAGCUUGUGUGGGAUGUUACUGGCCCCUCCAGCCUAUAGCUGUCGGCUGUCGGUCUUUACCGGCUCCAAGCAGGGGAGAAAAAUAUCGGAACCGUUAGUAACCUUAAGCAAUUGAUGCGCGAGGUCCAAAAAACUGCCCGGNCCAUGCGGCAGCAUGAGCCGUCUAUGCGCGAAGUCCCAAAACUGCCUGGCCCAAACGGCCACAUAACAGGCGAUGCGCAAUUCCACGAAAACUGCCUGGCCCAAACGGCCACAUAACAGGCGAUGCGCAUUCCACGAAAACUGCCUGGCCCAAACGGCCUCAUAAGCAGUUGAUGCGCGAGGUCCACGAAACUGCCGGCCCGAACGGCCUCAUAAGCAGUUGAUGCGCGAGGUCCACGAAACUGCCGGCCCGAACGGCCUCAUAAGCAGUUGAUGCGCGAGGUCCACAAAACUGCCGGCCCGAACAGCCUCAUAAGCAGUUGAUGCGCGAGGUCCACGAAACUGCCGGCCCGAACGGCCUCAUAAGCAGUUGAUGCGCGAGGUCCACGAAACUGCCGGCCCGAACGGCCUCAUAAGCAGUUGAUGCGCGAGGUCCACGAAACUGCCGGCCCAUACGGCCUCACAAGCAGUUGAUGCGCGAGGUCCACGAAACUGCCGGCCCGAACGGCCUCAUAAGCAGUUGAUGCGCGAGGUCCACGAAACUGCCGGCCCGAACGGCCUCAUAAGCAGUUGAUGCGCGAGGUCCACGAAACUGCCGGCCCAUACGGCCUCACAAGCAGUUGAUGCGCGAGGUCCACGAAACUGCCGGCCCGAACGGCCACAUAAACAGGCGAUGCGCAAUUCCACGAAAACUGCCGGCCCAUACGUCCUCACAAGCAGUCGAUGCGCGAGGUCCACGAAACUGCCGGCCCGAACGGCCACAUAAACAGGCGAUGCGCGAUAUCCAAAAACUGUCGGCCACAUCUGCCUGCGCAGGCAGUCCAAGCGCGGUAGUACUAGCUAGAUAUAACCUUGGGGAAAGCGCUCUCGGCUUCGUGACUUGUGGUAGUUAAGCCCGGUGUCCGGUAGUUGCUGUGGCGCAUCACACCGCCAGUGCCUGAAGGGGGCCGGUGGACAGAGCCAGGGUAGGUUGCAUGCCUGCUGCAGGAGCCUGUCGCGUUAGCCCAGCCGUUGAGACCCACGCUGCCUGCUGGCCGCAUGAGCCCAGUGUGAAUGGUGGUGGUUCGUCCGUGGGCGUCCUCGAACAUGCGAUCCCCCGUUGCCCAGCGUCCUGGCAGGUUGUAAACCUUGCCCCGGAAAUGUGGCGAAUACGACAAAGGAUCUGUACAACAUUAUUUGUAACUGGGUGUGACAGCCGGAGAAUUCAGUAGUUGUGUAACAGUAUGUGUGAAAGACGCUCGAAUAAACGACACCGAAGUGGUACGCAUUAGAAUUCACAACUCAAGAUAACAACAUUUCAUAACGGAUUUGAACUCCUAAUGUAUGGUGGCGUUCCUAGCGGCAAUGGAAGCUAAAUAGCGGAGGUUGGUUAACCACGUGACAGCUUUCAGCAACGCCUGACCUUCUUCGGACGCAUCAUCCGCCAUUGCUGUUCAAAUUAAGUUAAUGCGCUCAAUAGCGACGCGCACAACCUUCACCAAGGCCCAGGAUCCGCGUAAUUGCGGGUGGCUGGCUAAGGGCCGGCGGCUCCGCACAUUGUAAAAGAUUAUCGCUUCGGGCUGAGCUAACAUCAGCUGGGUUAGCUCCUCGUGCUCCUUCAGCCUCCGGUCGAAGUAAGCUGUGAGUGCUGGCGAAAUAACUCGCGCUCCUCAGCUAGCUGCUGUUCGAAGAGGGCCCGCAUUUCGGGAGUGAGCACUAAUCUUUCUGCGCCCGCAGCGCCAAUUUCCAUAGCCGACAUUCGAUUCUAGUAUUGCUAAGAAAAGACGGUGCAACACAUAACUAGAGGACACUGUCCCAGCAGCGGGACACACCUCUUGGUAAUAGUCAAAACAACGGCAGUUAAAGAACCAAUGCGCCUGUGGGACCCAAGUAGGAGCUCGGCGUCCCUUGCCGUACUGCGGUCCGGCACAUGCAUGCAUGCAUGCGCCCGACUUCCACGCACCACGGCAGUUCCUUCGCAAUAACUUGCCU
Molecule: long non-coding RNA, 2428 nt
Filed under: Volvox carteri
Lineage: Eukaryota; Viridiplantae; Chlorophyta; Chlorophyceae; Chlamydomonadales; Volvocaceae
Description: long non-coding RNA (VCAR_LNC002167)
Source: RNAcentral